GACGAACGCUGGCGGCGUGCUUAACACAUGCAAGUCGAACGGAAAGGCCCUGCUUUUGUGGGGUGCUCGAGUGGCGAACGGGUGAGUAACACGUGAGUAACCUGCCCUUGACUUUGGGAUAACUUCAGGAAACUGGGGCUAAUACCGGAUAGGAGCUCCUGCUGCAUGGUGGGGGUUGGAAAGUUUCGGCGGUUGGGGAUGGACUCGCGGCUUAUCAGCUUGUUGGUGGGGUAGUGGCUUACCAAGGCUUUGACGGGUAGCCGGCCUGAGAGGGUGUCCGGCCACAUUGGGACUGAGAUACGGCCCAGACUCCUACGGGAGGCAGCAGUGGGGAAUAUUGCACAAUGGGCGGAAGCCUGAUGCAGCAACGCCGCGUGCGGGAUGACGGCCUUCGGGUUGUAAACCGCUUUCGCCUGUGACGAAGCGUGAGUGACGGUAAUGGGUAAAGAAGCACCGGCUAACUACGUGCCAGCAGCCGCGGUGAUACGUAGGGUGCGAGCGUUGUCCGGAUUUAUUGGGCGUAAAGGGCUCGUAGGUGGUUGAUCGCGUCGGAAGUGUAAUCUUGGGGCUUAACCCCUGAGCGUGCUUUCAAUACGGGUUGACUUGAGGAAGGUAGGGGAGAAUGGAAUUCCUGGUGGAGCGGUGGAAUGCGCAAAUAUCAGGAGGAACACCAGUGGCGAAGGCGGUUCUCUGGGCCUUUCCUGACGCUGAGGAGCGAAAGCGUGGGGAGCGAACAGGCUUAGAUACCCUGGUAGUCCACGCUGUAAACGGUGGGUACUAGGUGUGGGGUCCAUUCCACGGGUUCCGUGCCGUAGCUAACGCUUUAAGUACCCCGCCUGGGGAGUACGGCCGCAAGGCUAAAACUCAAAGGAAUUGACGGGGCCCCGCACAAGCGGCGGAGCAUGCGGAUUAAUUCGAUGCAACGCGUAGAACCUUACCUGGGUUUGACAUGGAUCGGGAGUGCUCAGAGAUGGGUGUGCCUCUUUUGGGGUCGGUUCACAGGUGGUGCAUGGCUGUCGUCAGCUCGUGUCGUGAGAUGUUGGGUUAAGUCCCGCAACGAGCGCAACCCUUGUUCACUGUUGCCAGCACGUUAUGGUGGGGACUCAGUGGAGACCGCCGGGGUCAACUCGGAGGAAGGUGGGGAUGACGUCAAGUCAUCAUGCCCCUUAUGUCCAGGGCUUCACGCAUGCUACAAUGGCUGGUACAGAGAGUGGCGAGCCUGUGAGGGUGAGCGAAUCUCGGAAAGCCGGUCUCAGUUCGGAUUGGGGUCUGCAACUCGACCUCAUGAAGUCGGAGUCGCUAGUAAUCGCAGAUCAGCAACGCUGCGGUGAAUACGUUCCCGGGGCU
This 1347-nucleotide ribosomal RNA is filed under the name uncultured bacterium. Its description in RNAcentral is "partial 16S ribosomal RNA". It matches the Rfam family "Bacterial small subunit ribosomal RNA", at positions 28 to 1381 of the family's 1533-position model. The record is from RNAcentral.